This 429-nucleotide ribosomal RNA is filed under the name Fusobacteriota bacterium. Its description in RNAcentral is "Fusobacteria bacterium partial 16S ribosomal RNA". It matches the Rfam family "Bacterial small subunit ribosomal RNA", at positions 355 to 776 of the family's 1533-position model. The record is from RNAcentral. Lineage: Bacteria; Fusobacteriati; Fusobacteriota.
UGGGGAAUAUUGCACAAUGGGCGCAAGCCUGAUGCAGCCAUGCCGCGUGUAUGAAGAAGGCUUUCGGGUUGUAAAGUACUUUCAGCGGGGAGGAAGGGAGUAAAGUUAAUACCUUUGCUCAUUGACGUUACCCGCAGAAGAAGCACCGGCUAACUCCGUGCCAGCAGCCGCGGUAAUACGGAGGGUGCAAGCGUUAAUCGGAAUUACUGGGCGUAAAGCGCACGCAGGCGGUUUGUUAAGUCAGAUGUGAAAUCCCCGGGCUCAACCUGGGAACUGCAUCUGAUAAUGGCAAGCUUGAGUCUCGUAGAGGGGGGUAGAAUUCCAGGUGUAGCGGUGAAAUGCGUAGAGAUCUGGAGGAAUACCGGUGGCGAAGGCGGCCCCCAGGACGAAGACUGACGCUCAGGUGCGAAAACGUGGGGAGCAAACAGG